ACAGGUUUGCUGUUUAAAGAUUUCCUUUGGCUCUCAGCAGAUAAGAGGCCAAUAUACUCAAACUCUUAUCUACUGCAGUGAAUACAUUAAGUGGCAUUGAUAAGGUUGGAAAUGUGGCAUAGGCAUAUUGAGUCUAAUGGCUUGUUAAGUGCAUGUGUCAGCUUCUUCUUUCUGAAAACUUCAGGAAGAACUGCAUGCUCCUGAUAAAUUUAUUUAAAUUGCCACCCUUGACACACAAACAGAAUAGAAUACCUUAAUUAGAGUAAGAAAGUUGUUCACUUUCCUGCGUCACUAAUGGAGAUUGACAGAGGACUUACUUAGAGAGUUAUAAAUAGAAUUUAGGCUGCUGUGAGGAAAAGAGAAACCAAAAUGAUACCAGCUGUACCAGGAGAAGAACUGAAGAGGCAUCCAAGGAUGUUUUCCUAGUCAUCAAUUCCCAGGUCUUCACUAUUUUUAGGGGCUGACAGUUUUAUAAAUAAGUCAGCAAGGGCUUUUCCACCUUACCUUAAUCUGCUAUGAGUUGCUGGUUUGAGCUCAAGUGGUGACAAUUCAAAGAAGAACAUUCAUGGGGCUAUGUUUUCAACAGAACUGGUGAAACCAUAUCCACACAGGCUAUGGAAGCAGACUCAGCAGACUUGCUGUUCAAAAGACCAUUCCUAAGGAUUUUUAAGAAUUUUUUUUCUGUUGAAAAAAAAAAAACCUGUAUUUCCAAUCUCAUCUGCAUGUACUGCCACAACAUACUGGAUGUAAAUAAAUUUAAAGAGAUUGUGGACGGUAAGGUCUUGUGGAAGGAUCUACUUCAUGGAUGGCAUCUGCUACUGUGCACAUUCAUUCAUUCAUUGAUGUUAAACAUGUUCUUCACAACCCAGAAUUCAGAGCAGGUGAGAAGAGUAAGGAGGAUUCCAUCCAAUUUGAUUUGAACAAUGAACUACACUACACCAUUGAUGAUGAAGACUAUCAAAUUGCGUAGUCUCUACAGGACAUCCCCUUUAGGUUUUUAGUGGGACCAGAGGUUAUAUCGAUUACUUGUGAACUCUUUAUAUGUGAGGCGUCUAAGGAAUGAAGAGACAGCCUUUAUUCUACCAUCUACUUCCUAUUUCAGAGGGUCGAUUGAAGAUUGCCCAAUCUGGAGAGAUCUAUAUAGGGAAAAGAGGACACUUUAUGGAUGAAUCAAUAGACACAGAUAGAGUAAGUAAUUUGAAGAUUUGACCUCCUCUCCACAGCGACAAAAGGUCAUCUGUUACCACUACUUGAAUACCCUCUGGCAUUGGUGGGUUAGAAGUUUAAUUGCUGCAAGAAGUUCAGAAUAUUGGGAAAUGGUAUUCUCUUGACUCUCAGUGCUAUGUACAUCAGAAGAGGGAGUUGGAUCCAUUAAAAACACUCUUUGACCCAAAAGAAUUGUGAACUGUUUUGUGGAGAGAGACCCUUUCCUGAAGAGGCCACACACACCAAUGUUUCAAGUCUUUGGCCUGCUGAGACAGAUUUUUGAAAAAUUAUGUUUGUAUCUCAUCCCAGAAAAAUAAUAAGAUAAGAUAAUGGCUAAAAUCCUAUUGCUUAACAUCAUACAUUGCAACUUGUGUAGGGCCAUUAAAUCAGUGGGGAUUUGGUGAAUCAGUUCCUAUGUAUGUUCCAUUGAUGCAAAUAGGCUUAGUCUAAUUGCAACUUACUACAUCAAAGCAAGUGAUAAUUAGAGUAGGUUUAUUUAGUGAAUAAACUUACAGGGUAGUUUAUUCA
Molecule: long non-coding RNA, 1734 nt
Filed under: Pogona vitticeps (central bearded dragon)
Lineage: Eukaryota; Metazoa; Chordata; Lepidosauria; Squamata; Agamidae
Description: lncRNA (ENSPVIG00000019380.1)
Source: RNAcentral